Molecule: long non-coding RNA, 715 nt
Organism: Mastomys coucha (southern multimammate mouse)
Lineage: Eukaryota; Metazoa; Chordata; Mammalia; Rodentia; Muridae
Exons: 2
Source: RefSeq, a predicted model, not a curated record
UAGAAGUACUGUGUGUGAGGACCAGCAUGCGAAGAGCUAGAACCCUGCUCUGAACUUCUCAGCCUCUAGACCAUGCCGAGGCUGAUAGGAUGAAGCAAGCCAUGAGAGUUUAUUUUCCAUCACACACCAUUGUGCGGCUGAGCAAAUAUUUUAGCAAGCUUUGAAUGAACUACCUUUUCAAGUUCAAGGUUUUCAGAGUUAAAAUAGGAAGCCAUGACAAGCCUCAUAUUAGAUUUUAAAUCAACGUUGGGCCACCCUACUUAGGGAACAACUAUAGACAUCAUGGAAAAUCAGGUUUUGGGGAUGAGAAAAUCAGGUUGUGGGAGCCUUGUUCUGCCAACUUCAUCCUUCUUUGCUUGGCCUUGUGAAUGGAAGCAGUGUUCUUAAAGAAUUUCUAGAGGACAGGAAGCAUUAGCCUCUGGGCACCUAGCACUUUACAGUCAAUCUACCCAGUCCUGGCACUGGCCAGAGGAGAUGUAGCCAUGAGUGCUCCCGCAUCUACCGGCCUUCCCCACCUUCACCGGACUUGACAAAGGGUGUACAUGGCAAACUCUCAGCAAGUGUGGCCCACCUUGGAGGCAACUGAAACACUUGAUCCCAGAGAGAAUGAAAAAUUGAGAGAGACAAAUGAAAGAAAUCCCCCAAAAGCAAACUUCAAAAUGUUACAUUAAGAUUUUAAAACUUCUUAAUAAUGUUUUACCUUAGUUUGAUUCCA